GGUUCGAUCAUGGCUCAGAUUGAACGCUGGCGGGAUGCUUUACACAUGCAAGUCGAACGGCAGCACGGACUUCGGUCUGGUGGCGAGUGGCGAACGGGUGAGUAAUGUAUCGGAACGUGCCUAGUAGCGGGGAUAACUACGCGAAAGCGUAGCUAAUACCGCAUACGCCCUUCGGGGGAAAGCGGGGACCUUCGGGCCUCGCACUAUUAGAGCGGCCGAUAUCGGAUUAGCUAGUUAGUGGGAGUAACGGCUCACCAAGGCGACGAUCGUAGCUGGUUUGAGGAGGACGACCAGCCACACUGGGACUAAGACGGCAGACUCCUACGGGAGACAGCAGUGGGGAAUUUUGGACAAUGGAAACCCUGAUCCAGCCAUCCCGCGUGUGCGAUGAAGGCCUUCCGUUGUAAAGCACUUUUAGCGGGAAAGAAACGGCACGGGAUAAUACCCCGUGCAACUGACGGUACCUGCAGAAUAAGCACCGGCUAACUACGUGCCAGCAGCCGCGGUAAUACGUAGGGUGCAAGCGUUAAUCGGAAUUACUGGGCAUAAAGCGUGCGCAGGCGGUUCCGGAAGAGGAUGUGAAAUCCCAGAGCUUAACUUUGGAACUGCAUUUUUAACUACCGAGCUAGAGUGUGUCAGAGGGAGGGUGGAAUUCCGCGUGUAGCAGUGAAAUGCGUAGAUAUGCGGAGGAACACCGAUGGCGAAGGCAGCCUCCUGGGAUAACACUGACGCUCAUGCACGAAAGCGUGGGAGCAAACAGGAUUAGAUACCCUGGUGAUCCACGCCCUAAACGAUGUCAACUAGCUGUUGGGGCCUUCGGGCCUUGGUAGCGCAGCUAACGCGUGAAGUUGACCGCCUGGGGAGUACGGUCGCAGAUUAAAACUCAAAGGAAUUGACGAGGGGACCCGCACAAGCGGUGGAUGAUGUGGAUUAAUUCGAUGCAACGCGAAAAACCUUACCUACCCUUGACAUGUCUGGAAUCCCGAAGAGAUUUGGGAGUGCUCGCAAAGAGAACCGGAACACAGGUGCUGCAUGGCUGUCGUCAGCUCGUGUCGUGAGAUGUUGGGUUAAGUCCGCAACGAGCGCAACCCUUGUCAUUAGUUGCUACGAAGAACUCUAAUGAGACUGCCGGUGACAAACCGGAGGAAGGUGGGGAUGACGUCAAGUCCUCAUGGCCCUUAUGGGUAGGGCUUCACACGUCAUACAAUGGUCGGGACAGAGGGUCGCCAACCCGCGAGGGGAGCCAAUCCCAGAAACCCGAUCGUAGUCCGGAUCAUGAUCUGCAACUCGACUGCGUGAAGUCGGAAUCGCUAGUAAUCGCGGAUCAGCAUGUCGGUGAAUACGUUCCCGGGUCUUGUACACACCGCCCGUCACACCAUGGGAGUGGGUUUUACCAGAAGUAGUUAGCCUAACCGUAAGGAGGGCGAUUACCACGGUAGGAUUCAUGACUGGGGUGAAGUCGUAACAAGGUAG
Molecule: ribosomal RNA, 1473 nt
Filed under: uncultured Bordetella sp.
Lineage: Bacteria; Pseudomonadati; Pseudomonadota; Betaproteobacteria; Burkholderiales; Alcaligenaceae
Description: partial 16S-23S ribosomal RNA intergenic spacer
Rfam family: Bacterial small subunit ribosomal RNA
Source: RNAcentral